UACGUAGGUGGCAAGCGUUGUCCGGAAUUACUGGGUGUAAAGCGCGUGUAGGCGGCAGACCAAGUCGGCGGUGAAAGCGCCCGGCUCAACUGGGCGAGGUCCGUGGAAACUGGUCAGCUGGAGGACGGUAGAGGCGAGUGGAAUUCCCGGUGUAGUGGUGAAAUGCGUAGAGAUCGGGAGGAACGCCUGUGGCGAAGGCGGCUCGCUGGGCCGGUCCUGACGCUGAGACGCGAAGGCGUGGGGAGCGAACGGG
This 253-nucleotide ribosomal RNA is filed under the name uncultured bacterium. Its description in RNAcentral is "partial 16S ribosomal RNA". It matches the Rfam family "Bacterial small subunit ribosomal RNA", at positions 524 to 776 of the family's 1533-position model. The record is from RNAcentral.